GACGAACGCUGGCGGCGUGCUUAACACAUGCAAGUCGAACGGAAAGGCCCUGCUUUUGUGGGGUGCUCGAGUGGCGAACGGGUGAGUAACACGUGAGUAACCUGCCCUUGACUUUGGGAUAACUUCAGGAAACUGGGGCUAAUACCGUAUAGGAGCUCCUGCUGCAUGGAGGGGGUUGGAAAGUUUCGGCGGGUGGGGAUGGACUCGCGGCUUAUCAGCUUGUUGGUGGGGUAGUGGCUUACCAAGGCUUUGACGGGUAGCCGGCCUGAGAGGGUGACCGGCCACAUUGGGCCUGAGAUACGGCGCAGACUCCUACGGGAGGCAGCAGUGGGGAAUAUUGCACAAUGGGCGGAAGCCUGAUGCAGCAACGCCGCGUGCGGGAUGACGGCCUUCGGGUUGUAAACCGCUUUCGCCUGUGACGAAGCGUGAGUGACGGUAAUGGGUAAAGAAGCACCGGCUAACUACGUG
RNAcentral lists this ribosomal RNA (468 nucleotides) under uncultured bacterium. RNAcentral's name for it is "partial 16S ribosomal RNA". It matches the Rfam family "Bacterial small subunit ribosomal RNA", at positions 28 to 507 of the family's 1533-position model. The record is from RNAcentral.